CGGAUGUAGCCAAGUGGAUCAAGGCAGUGGAUUGUGAAUCCACCAUGCGCGGGUCAAAU
This 59-nucleotide transfer RNA is filed under the name Corydalis heterocarpa var. japonica. Its description in RNAcentral is "partial tRNA-His". It matches the Rfam family "tRNA", at positions 2 to 58 of the family's 71-position model. Rfam says of the family: Transfer RNA (tRNA) molecules are approximately 80 nucleotides in length. The record is from RNAcentral. Lineage: Eukaryota; Viridiplantae; Streptophyta; Magnoliopsida; Ranunculales; Papaveraceae.